Molecule: ribosomal RNA, 255 nt
Filed under: uncultured bacterium
Lineage: Bacteria
Description: partial 16S ribosomal RNA
Rfam family: Bacterial small subunit ribosomal RNA
Source: RNAcentral
UACGUAGGGUGCGAGCGUUGUCCGGAAUUAUUGGGCGUAAAGAGCUUGUAGGCGGUUUGUCGCGUCUGCUGUGAAAAUCCGGGGCUCAACCCCGGACUUGCAGUGGGUACGGGCAGACUAGAGUGUGGUAGGGGGAGACUGGAAUUCCUGGUGUAGCGGUGAAAUGCGCAGAUAUCAGGAGGAACACCGAUGGCGAAGGCAGGUCUCUGGGCCACUACUGACGCUGAGGAGCGAAAGCGUGGGGGAGCAAACAGG